UACCUGCAGCUCGAGUGGUAACCGCUAUUAUUGGGCCUAAAGCGUCCGUAGCCGGUUUGGUAAAUAUCUGGGUAAAUCGUGAGGCUUAACUUCACGAAUUUCGGAUAGACUGCCAGACUUGGGAUCGGGGGAGGUCAGAGGUACUCCAGGGGUAGCGGUGAAAUGUUGUAAUCCUUGGAGGACCACCGGUAGCGAAGGCGUCUGACUAGAACGAGUCCGACGGUGAGGGACGAAGCCCUGGGGCGCAAACCGGAUUAGAUACCCGGGUAGUCCAGGGUGUAAACAAUGUGGGCUUUGCAUUGGAGGUUCCACGUGGGCGUCCAGUGCAGAAGAGAAGUUGUUAAGCCCACCGCCUGGGAAGUACGGUCGCAAGGCUGAAACUUAAAGGAAUUGGCGGGGAGCACAGCAACGGGAGGAGCGUGCGGUUU
RNAcentral lists this ribosomal RNA (428 nucleotides) under uncultured archaeon. RNAcentral describes it as "bacterial SSU rRNA". It matches the Rfam family "Archaeal small subunit ribosomal RNA", at positions 474 to 903 of the family's 1478-position model. The record is from RNAcentral.